UGGCGGUUUUUCAGUCUUGAAGAUGGAC
This 28-nucleotide small RNA is filed under the name Bombyx mori (domestic silkworm). RNAcentral's name for it is "ovarian small RNA-8775". The record is from RNAcentral. Lineage: Eukaryota; Metazoa; Arthropoda; Insecta; Lepidoptera; Bombycidae.